AACGCGAAGAACCUUACCUAGACUUGACAUCUCCUGCAUUACUCUUAAUCGAGGAAGUCCCUUCGAGGACAGGAUGACAGGUGGUGCAUGGUUGUCGUCAGCUCGUGUCGUGAGAUGUUGGGUUAAGUCCCGCAACGAGCGCAACCCUUAUUGUUAGUUGCCAUCAUUAAGUUGGGCACUCUAGCGAGACUGCCCGGGUUAACCGGGAGGAAGGUGGGGAUGACGUCAAAUCAUCAUGCCCCUUAUGUCUAGGGCUACACACGUGCUACAAUGGUCGGUACAAUAAGACGCAAGCCCGCGAGGGGGAGCAAAACUGGAAAACCGAUCUCAGUUCGGAUUGUAGGCUGAAACUCGCCUACAUGAAGCUGGAGUUGCUAGUAAUCGCGAAUCAGCAUGUCGCGGUGAAUACGUUCCCGGGUCUUGUACACACCG
Molecule: ribosomal RNA, 432 nt
Filed under: uncultured Clostridium sp.
Lineage: Bacteria; Bacillati; Bacillota; Clostridia; Eubacteriales; Clostridiaceae
Description: bacterial SSU rRNA
Rfam family: Bacterial small subunit ribosomal RNA
Source: RNAcentral